GAUGAACGCUGGCGGCGUGCCUAACACAUGCAAGUCGAGCGAACAGACGAUGAGCUUGCUCCUCUGACGUUAGCGGCGGACGGGUGAGUAACACGUGGAUAACCUACUUAUAAGACUGGGAUAAUCUCGGGAAACCGGAGCUAAUACCGGAUAAUAUAUUGAACCGCAUGGUUCAAUAGUGAAUGACGGCUUUGGUGUCACUAAUAGAUGGAUCCGGGCUGCAUUAGCUAGUUGGUAAGGUAACGGCCUACCAAGGCUACGAUGCGUAGCCGACCGGAGAGGGGGAUAGGCCACACUGGAACUGGAACACGGUCCAUGCUCCUGCGGGAGGGCGCAGUAGGGAAUCUUCGGCAAUGGGCGGAAGCCUGACAGAACGAGCCCGCGUGGGUGAAGGAGGUCUUCGGUUCGUAAAGCUCUUUUAUUGGGGAAGAACAGAUGUGUAAUUAAAUAUACACGUCUUGACGGUACCUAAUCAAGAAGCCACGGCUAACUACGUG
Molecule: ribosomal RNA, 497 nt
Filed under: uncultured bacterium
Lineage: Bacteria
Description: partial 16S ribosomal RNA
Rfam family: Bacterial small subunit ribosomal RNA
Source: RNAcentral